Notothenia coriiceps (black rockcod) is the source of this 1258-nucleotide long non-coding RNA. RefSeq lists it as uncharacterized. The transcript has 2 exons. The record is from RefSeq and is a predicted model, not a curated record. NCBI's taxonomy places the organism in Eukaryota, Metazoa, Chordata, Actinopteri, Perciformes, Nototheniidae.
CAAAUGUUAUCAAUAUAGCCUGUACGUCAUCAUUUGUGUCGCUUGUGCCUAUGUCAAAAGCUGUGCAUCACUUUGUUUCUGUCUGAUUUCUAAACUGGGGGCGUGUCAACCUUCAUCUACUGUAGUUAAUACAUUGAAUAUGAAUACAUUUUCUCAUACAACCAAACAUCCAAACUGACUCAGUACACUAUUUUCGUGGAGGUCUUUCCAAAAAAUGUUCUUUCCCAUCCUGGUCUCUGAAUGUUUGUGUACUGGCCCUUGUUGUGCAGCACCCUCCGGAUGUGUCCUAUGACAUGAUCAUCCCCAGAGCCUCAGCCAGCUCAGCAGCCAACAGCGGGAGCAGCACCCCCUCGACCCGCACUGACAGCAGCAGCACCGCACACACAAACGGACACAGCGGAAAUGGUCUGCAGAGGACGUCCCAGUGGUGAAGAUCCCCAAUACCCCUUCAAAAUAACUUAAGUUCAUGUCUUUUAAUUUGCACCUGUUGGCUGUAUUUAUGCUGUUCUCCAUGGUUCCCUAAGCUGUUUCUAAGAGGAACCUUCAGCCCAGACAUGUGGCGAACGCUGCCUCAUUCCCACUGAUGGAAAACAGCUUCCGUUGACCGUUCUUUCCCAUGAGCCACUGGGUGUCAGAAGUUUAGAGCUUCAUUUGGAAGUCAAAGCGAGGGGAUAAAGCAGAACAAAGACUUUUUGCAAUGGCGGCCUUUCACUGGGAAUCCUCUCUGCUGGAGCCAAUCACAGCUGCAGAGUGACGGGCUGACGGUGCAAAUAUCAUCUCCACGUGUUCACACACACAAACUCCAUGAAUGUGACUGCAGCGGCACCAAUGAAACCAUCUUCACUUAUAUUUAACAUAUUCUGCACAUGUGAGUUUAAUUAUAGGAUCUAUUCUUGUGCUUCUAUUUGUGAAUAUUGUUAACAACCACACAUAAAAUUGAACUUCUGGUGUUGGAUUAUUGUAAAUAUGUUAUUAAUGUGUCAAUAGUUCUACACUGCAUGAAAGCAUUUUAUGAAUAUGUGUAUUUAAUACUAUUUAUAGCACCGCUGUGUGCUAUUCAAUUAUUAUAGCUCACUUUUAAUAAUCAAAUAAUCAUUUGAAUAGAGCCAUAAACACGCCUGGGAUUAGCUUGUUUCACUUGCUUAUAAUGCUUAACGUAUUUUCAUAAUACCAUGAUAUUUUUAAGUCCAUAAAUAAAUAUCUAUCUAAUUCAUUACAUCACCUACACUUUGAGAACCUUGUCAAUCUCACAGAGAUA